ACCUGCAUGCCUAGGUAACAUGCAUUACCUACAAGCCUAGGUAACAUGCAUUACCUGCAGGCCUAGGUAACAUGCAUUACCUGCAGGCCUAGGUAACAUGCAUUACCUACAGGCCUAGGUAACAUGCAUUACCUACAGGCCUAGGUAACAUGCAUUACCCGCAGGCCUAGGUAACAUGCAUUACCUACAGGCCUAGGUAACAUGCAUUACCCGCAGGCCUAGGUAACAUGCAUUACCUACAGGCCUAGGUAACAUGCAUUACCUGCAGGCCUAGGUAACAUGCAUUACCUACAGGCCUAGGUAACAUGCAUUACCUGCAGGCCUAGGUAACAUGCAUUACCUACAGGCCUAGGUAACAUGCAUUACCCGCAGGCCUAGGUAACAUGCAUUACCUGCAGGCCUAGGUAACAUGCAUUACCUGCCUAG
Molecule: long non-coding RNA, 426 nt
Organism: Etheostoma cragini (Arkansas darter)
Lineage: Eukaryota; Metazoa; Chordata; Actinopteri; Perciformes; Percidae
Exons: 2
Source: RefSeq, a predicted model, not a curated record